Molecule: ribosomal RNA, 438 nt
Filed under: Pseudomonas sp. DCB_Q
Lineage: Bacteria; Pseudomonadati; Pseudomonadota; Gammaproteobacteria; Pseudomonadales; Pseudomonadaceae
Description: partial 23S ribosomal RNA
Rfam family: Bacterial large subunit ribosomal RNA
Source: RNAcentral
AACACGAGGAACCCGGUGCUGGAAGGUUAAGGGGAGCGGUUAGGGGCAACCCGAAGCUGUGAACCGAAGCCCCAGUAAACGGCGGCCGUAACUAUAACGGUCCUAAGGUAGCGAAAUUCCUUGUCAGGUAAAUUCUGACCCGCACGAAUGGCGUAACGACUUGGGCGCUGUCUCAACGAGAGAUCCGGUGAAAUUUUAAUACCUGUGAAGAUGCAGGUUACCCGCGACAAGACGGAAAGACCCCAUGGAGCUUUACUGCAGCUUGAUAUUGGACUUUGGUACGAUCUGUACAGGAUAGGUGGGAGCCUUGGAAGCCGGAGCGCCAGCUUCGGUGGAGGCACCGUUGGGAUACCACCCUGAUCGUAUCGGAGUUCUAACCUGGUACCGUGAAACCGGUACAGGGACCGUGUCAGGCGGGCAGUUUAACUGGGGCGGUUU